RNAcentral lists this non-coding RNA (95 nucleotides) under Megasphaera hominis. RNAcentral describes it as "SAM riboswitch (S box leader)". It matches the Rfam family "SAM riboswitch aptamer (S box leader)". From Rfam's summary of the family: The SAM riboswitch is found upstream of a number of genes which code for proteins involved in methionine or cysteine biosynthesis in Gram-positive bacteria. Lineage: Bacteria; Bacillati; Bacillota; Negativicutes; Veillonellales; Veillonellaceae. The record is from RNAcentral.
UUCAUCCAGAGCAAUCGAGGGAAUGGCCCUAUGACGUUGCGGCAACCCCCUACGCGGGAAGGUGCCAAGUCCAGCGGAAUGUAUCCGGCAGAUGA